UACGAAGGGAGCUAGCGUUGUUCGGAAUCACUGGGCGUAAAGCGUACGUAGGCGGAUGUGUCAGUCAGGGGUGAAAUCCCGGAGCUCAACUUCGGAACUGCCUUUGAUACAGCACGUCUUGAGUCCGAUAGAGGUGGGUGGAAUUCCUAGUGUAGAGGUGAAAUUCGUAGAUAUUAGGAAGAACACCGGUGGCGAAGGCGGCCCACUGGAUCGGUACUGACGCUGAGGUGCGAAAGCGUGGGGAGCAAACAGG
This 253-nucleotide ribosomal RNA is filed under the name uncultured bacterium. RNAcentral's name for it is "partial 16S ribosomal RNA". It matches the Rfam family "Bacterial small subunit ribosomal RNA", at positions 524 to 776 of the family's 1533-position model. The record is from RNAcentral.